RNAcentral lists this ribosomal RNA (430 nucleotides) under bacterium. Its description in RNAcentral is "partial 16S ribosomal RNA". It matches the Rfam family "Bacterial small subunit ribosomal RNA", at positions 355 to 776 of the family's 1533-position model. The record is from RNAcentral.
UGGGGAAUUGUUCGCAAUGGGCGCAAGCCUGACGACGCAACGCCGCGUGGAGGAUGAAGACCUUCGGGUCGUAAACUCCUUUCGAUCGAGACGAAUGGCCUCUGGGUGAAUAAUCCGGAGGAGUGACGGUACCGAGAGAAGAAGCCCCGGCUAACUCCGUGCCAGCAGCCGCGGUAAUACGGGGGGGGCAAGCGUUGUUCGGAAUUACUGGGCGUAAAGGGCUCGUAGGUGGCCAACUAAGUCAGACGUGAAAUCCCUCGGCUUAACCGGGGAACUGCAUCUGAUACUGGAUGGCUUGAGUUUGGGAGAGGGACGCGGAAUUCCAGGUGUAGCGGUGAAAUGCGUAGAUAUCUGGAGGAACACCGGUGGCGAAGGCGGCGUCCUGGACCAAUACUGACACUGAUGAGCGAAAGCCAGGGGAGCAAACGGG